This 340-nucleotide long non-coding RNA is filed under the name Danio rerio (zebrafish). RNAcentral describes it as "lncRNA (ENSDARG00000117421.1)". The record is from RNAcentral. Lineage: Eukaryota; Metazoa; Chordata; Actinopteri; Cypriniformes; Danionidae.
AUCCUUGAACAGAAAUCAGUGGAAGAGACGAGAGAGCAAACCACAGUAAAUUAGUGGCAUGUGGGAAGUUUACCAAAACUAUAAAAUAAAAUAAAAACGUGCUGGGCUGUAAACUCUGUAACAUUCUUACACCACACAUCGCUGAGCAAAGAGGAAAUUGACAACGCGAAUGCAGAGGAUAAAGCCGGUUCUGGGAGGUUCAAGUCUUUUGGCUGCGUCUCUGUGUGCCGCAUUAGAGAGAAGGAGCCGUUGUCUUGACAGCCCGUCACUGUGGCGACCGAGCACAUUCCAGAAUCAGCUCGGAGGUCAGGAGAAUAAGCAUGGAAAAAUAAAGAUAUGA